AGAGUUUGAUCCUGGCUCAGGACGAACGCUGGCGGCAUGCCUAACACAUGCAAGUCGAACGAGAACUCCUUCGGGGGUUCUUAGUGGCGAACGGGUGAGUAACGCGUAGGCAACCUGCCCUUGGAUGGGGACAACAUUCCGAAAGGAGUGCUAAUACCGAAUGUGACGAUUUUACCGCAUGUUUAAUCGUGAAAGAUGGCCUCUACAUGUAAGCUAUCGCCAAAGGAUGGGCCUGCGUCUAUUAGCUAGUUGGUGGGGUAACGGCUCACCAAGGCGACGAUCAGUAGCCGGUCUGAGAGGUGAACGGCCACAUUGGGACUGAGACACGGCCCAGACUCCUACGGGAGGCAGCAGUGGGGAUCUUCCGCAAUGGACGAAAGUCUGACGGAGCAAUGCCGCGUGAGUGAUGAAGGUUUUCGGCCGUAAAGCUCUUUUGUUUAUGACGAAUGUGCAUUAUGUGAAUAAUGUAGUGUAAUGACGUAGUAAACGAAUAAGCCACGGCUAACUACGUGCCAGCAGCCGCGGUAAUACGUACGUGGCAGCGUUGUCCGGAAUUAUUGG
Molecule: ribosomal RNA, 561 nt
Filed under: uncultured Veillonellaceae bacterium
Lineage: Bacteria; Bacillati; Bacillota; Negativicutes; Veillonellales; Veillonellaceae
Description: bacterial SSU rRNA
Rfam family: Bacterial small subunit ribosomal RNA
Source: RNAcentral